UUUCCUUUCUGGUGUUUUGUAUCUUUAAGGUCUGGCCAGUUCUCUCCUACAGGCUAACUAGCAUUCCUGUCAAGGAGACACCUUUAAUGUUCUGUCGAUUCUUCCCCCACAGUUAUGUCUGAUUUCCCCUUCGGCUAGAGCUAGCCUUUGCAGAAGUUUCAGUUACCCAGUUAGGAACUUUAAAAUUGGGGGGAUUUAGGUUAACCGGCCGCAAACUGCUUGGCCAAAUCUAACGAAGUGGUGUUGGCGCCACCUGGUGGUACUUGUGAGCUCUGAUUUAAAUGUCAACAGAGUCCCUCGGGUUCCGAACUAGUUGGGAGUUUAUAGGGUAGAGGAAGCCGCUCCUGGUACGGUCCUGUUAGUGGGAACCUUGCUGCCUUUGAUCUCAUCGCUUGUGAGAAACUUACAUAAGUGAUCUGCAAACUUUGAUACCGAAAGUGUGAUCUUUCGACAAUUACCUGCUCAGACGGCCUUUGUUUUCUGAAGCACAAACCAGAGAUUUUUCAGAUGAGGACACUGACAAUCCUCUCCGUUCGUCAGGCUCACAUGUUUGGACCUGCCCGGCCACCUUCCCUCUCUGGCAUGCUCAGCCUCCACCACUGGCUCCUGGUCAUCCUUCGGGUCCGAGUGAAAGUUUUUCCCUCCCGGAAGCUCUCUCUGGCCAUCCUACUGAAAGGAUUAAAUCUUUGAAUCAC
This is a long non-coding RNA of Callorhinus ursinus (northern fur seal), 695 nucleotides long. RefSeq lists it as uncharacterized. The record is from RefSeq and is a predicted model, not a curated record. Lineage: Eukaryota; Metazoa; Chordata; Mammalia; Carnivora; Otariidae.